GACGAACGCUGGCGGCGUGCUUAACACAUGCAAGUCGAACGGAAGGGCCCUGCGUUUGUUUGUUUCUCGUUUGCCGAGCGGGGGAGUAUCACGCGUGGAACCUCCCCUUGUCUUUCUGGUAUCACUUGGAGACUCGGGCGAUUACCCCGUAUAAUCUCCUGCUCCGUGUUGUUGGUUGGAAAAUGUCGGCGUUGGGGGAUGUUUUGGCGGGUUAUCAGCUUGUUGGGGGGGUAGGGACUGACCAAGCCUUUGACGGGUAGCCGGCCUGAGAGGGUGACCGGCCACAUGGGGCCUGAGAUACGGACCAGACUCCUACGGGAGGCAGCAGUGGGGAAUAUUGCACAAUGGGCGGAAGUCUGAUGCAGCAACGCCGCGUGCGGGAUGCCGGCUUUUGGGUUGUAAACAGCUUUGGAAGGUGCUGAAGAGUGAGUGACGGUAAUGAGUAAAGAAGCACCGGCUAACUACGUG
RNAcentral lists this ribosomal RNA (468 nucleotides) under uncultured bacterium. RNAcentral's name for it is "partial 16S ribosomal RNA". It matches the Rfam family "Bacterial small subunit ribosomal RNA", at positions 28 to 507 of the family's 1533-position model. The record is from RNAcentral.